RNAcentral lists this ribosomal RNA (385 nucleotides) under Ichthyosporea sp. RNAcentral describes it as "partial small subunit ribosomal RNA". It matches the Rfam family "Eukaryotic small subunit ribosomal RNA", at positions 582 to 975 of the family's 1831-position model. The record is from RNAcentral. Lineage: Eukaryota; Ichthyosporea.
AUUCCAGCUCCAAUAGCGUAUAUUAAAGUUGUUGCAGUUAAAAAGCUCGUAGUUGGAUGUUGGGUUCUAGUUAUGUUCGGUCUCUUCUAGAGUACUGUCAUGCUGGCCCUUUUUCUCGAGGCCUAUAGGUGCACUUAACCGUGUGUUUAUAGUGUUCGGGACUUUUACCGUGAGAAAAUUAGAGUGUUCAUAGCAGGCUAGUGCUUGAAUAUUACAGCAUGGAAUAAUGGAAUAGGAUCAUGAUCUUAUUUUGUUGGUUUCUAAGAUUAAGAUAAUGAUUAAUAGGGAUAGUUGGGGGCAUUAAUUUUUAGUUGUCAGAGGUGAAAUUCUUAGAUUUACAAAAGAUUAACUUCUGCGAAAGCAUUUGCCAAGGAUGUUUUCAUCG